RNAcentral lists this small nuclear RNA (281 nucleotides) under Erinaceus europaeus (western European hedgehog). Its description in RNAcentral is "7SK RNA". It matches the Rfam family "7SK RNA". From Rfam's summary of the family: 7SK was discovered as an abundant small nuclear RNA in the mid-70s but a possible function has only recently been suggested. Two independent studies have found that 7SK RNA binds the CDK9/cyclin T complex (known as elongation factor P-TEFb). Lineage: Eukaryota; Metazoa; Chordata; Mammalia; Eulipotyphla; Erinaceidae. The record is from Rfam by way of RNAcentral.
GGAUGUGACAGUGAGCCAGCUAUGUCAUCUGCCACCCCAAUGAUCACGAACAUUGACUCAGCUGAUUAGACUGGCUAGGCGGGUGUCCCCUUCCUCCCACAUCAUUCCGUGUGCAUCCCUCCCAAAGAGGACGACUUUCCCCAAAUGGAGAUGGAACAGUCUUUUUGUAAAAGGUGUAUGAGCAGUUGCACUCCCUUGCUAGAACCUCCAAACAAGCUCUUUAAAAAAUGACUGCUGAGAGCAGUGUAUGGGCAGUGUCGUCACCAAGCUGCAGCAGUGGU